This 365-nucleotide long non-coding RNA is filed under the name Spirodela polyrhiza (greater duckweed). RNAcentral describes it as "long non-coding RNA (SPOL_LNC000136)". Lineage: Eukaryota; Viridiplantae; Streptophyta; Magnoliopsida; Alismatales; Araceae. The record is from RNAcentral.
GUCGGUCGUCGUCCCCAGCGGCUGUCCAUACACACACAGAAGCCAUCGAUAGGUACGGGCGGCUCCUCGUCGGACGGAGCCCGGCUCUUUGUCUGUCCUCGCUGAGCACUCAACUUGCCAGCUGCCGGUGGCCACGUUUGCUCGCCCAUUUCAUUGCGAGGACGGGCGGCUCUGUAGGUUAGUUGCGCCUCAUUACGACGUUCCACAAGAGGGGAGAUCCCUUGCAGAUUUCCCUUGUGGCUGUAACUUGCCUCAUUUCAUUUUCUUUACUUUCUAGGUGAGGGCGCCAAUGUACUUGUCCCGCUAUUUAUGUAUGCUUCGUGGUUCGCCGUUUCAUCUCUGAGGGGAAAGGAGGAGAGAGAGAG